RNAcentral lists this ribosomal RNA (249 nucleotides) under uncultured bacterium. RNAcentral's name for it is "partial 16S ribosomal RNA". It matches the Rfam family "Bacterial small subunit ribosomal RNA", at positions 28 to 280 of the family's 1533-position model. The record is from RNAcentral.
GAUGAACGCUGGCGGCGUGCCUAACACAUGCAAGUCGGACGGGAGUGGACGCAAGUUUGCUCCAGUGGCGCACGGGUGAGUAACACGUAGCUGACCUGUCCUGGAGCGGGGGAUAACGCCGCGAAAGCGGCGCUAAGCCCGCCUAAGCUCACGGUCUUUAGAGGACUGGGAGAAAAACCGAAAGGUACUUCAGGAGGGGCUGCGGCCCAUCAGGUAGUUGGUGGGGUAAGAGCCUACCAAGCCGACGAC